GAUUUCCUGAGUAACGGCGAGCGAAAGGGAAACUGUCCAGCGCCAAGUCUUGACAUUUAGGUGCUCAAGAGAUGCGGCGUUAAUGCGUUGGCGCAUCGUGCAUUGCUUCUGGCUUCAAGUUCCUUUGACUAGGACAUCCAAAGUGGGUGACAGGCCCAUAGAAGCUAGAGGCUGAUGUAUGCCGGCCAUUGCAUUCUAGAGUCAGGUUGCUUGAGAGUGCAGCUUAAAGUCGGUGGUAAACUCCAUCUAAGACUAAAUAUAACAGCGAGACCGAUAGCAAACAAGUACCGUGAGGGAAAGUUGCAAAGCACUUUGAAGAGAGAGUUCAACAGUACGUGAAACCACUGGAAGGUAAACAAAUGGAGCCACGAAGUUGUGCUCCGGUCGAUUCAAUUAUCAUUGCGGAGUGGCGGCGUUUGUUGUGGGCAUCUUCGGAGGUCGCUCAAGCGCUUACACUUUGCACUGAUGGUGCAUUUCGUGCCGGAGAUGCAAAGCCACGUUUGACUAGAGUUGGAGCGGCUGUAAGGCAGGGUGCCAUUAAGGUGACUGCCACGUGCUUGCAUGUGGUAGCGUUAUAGACUGGUGCCGGCACCGUUAUCAACGAGCUAGUCAAUAAAAGUACUCUUUCGAGAGUGUAAGCCGUGUCCGCCUGUAGCGUCUAGUUAGCUCUUAUAGGUCUUCUUUGCGUGCUUCUGGUGCGAAAAGAGGCUUUGACAGUGUUGACUAGUCGUUGCUUGCGUGGCAUGGUGGAACUGUGGCGCGAGUAGGUCGGUUUCCAUCUGACCCGUCUUGAAACACGGACCAAGGAGCCUAUCAUAUACGCGAGUCGCUCGGUCUUGAAUAGGCCCGGGAGGCAGAAUGAAAGUGAAACUACGAAACUUUGGUUGCAGUAGUGGCUCGCCUACUUCGUUUAUUGGCGAUCAGGCGAAGCUGGAGCGUAUACGAUGGUACCCGAAAGAUGGUGAACUAUGCCUGGGCAAGAUGAAGCCAGAGGAAACUCUGGUGGAAGUCUGUAGCGAUUCUGACGUGCAAAUCGAUCGUCAGACCUGGGUAUAGGGGCGAAAGACUAAUCGAACCAUCUAGUAGCUGGUUUCCUUCGAAGUUUCCCUCAGGAUAGCAGGCAUUUGAUUAACUCAGUCUCAUCCGGUAAAGCUAAUGAUUAGAGGUCUUGGGGUUGAAACGACCUCAACCUAUUCUCAAACUUUGAAUGGGUGAGAUGGAUGACUUUCUUGAUUGAAGCCAUCCAUUUGGAUGUAAGUGCCUAGUGGGCCAGCUUUGGUAAGCAGAACUGGCGCUGUGGGAUGAACCAAACGUCGAGAUAAGGCAUCAAAUGCAUACGCUCAUCAGACCCCAUGAAAGGUGUUGGUUGCUAUAGACAGCAGGACGGUGGCCAUGGAAGUCGGAAUCC
RNAcentral lists this ribosomal RNA (1408 nucleotides) under Prolistrophorus sp. n. AD725. RNAcentral describes it as "eukaryotic LSU rRNA". It matches the Rfam family "Eukaryotic large subunit ribosomal RNA", at positions 73 to 1269 of the family's 3401-position model. Lineage: Eukaryota; Metazoa; Arthropoda; Arachnida; Sarcoptiformes; Listrophoridae. The record is from RNAcentral.